CCGAGUUUACAACUCCCAAACCCAAUGUGAACGUUACCAAACUGUUGCCUCGGCGGGAUCUCUGCCCCGGGUGCGUCGCAGCCCCGGACCAAGGCGCCCGCCGGAGGACCAACCAAAACUCUUAUUGUAUACCCCCUCGCGGGUUUUUUACUAUCUGAGCCAUCUCGGCGCCCCUCGUGGGCGUUUCGAAAAUGAAUCAAAACUUUCAACAACGGAUCUCUUGGUUCUGGCAUCGAUGAAGAACGCAGCGAAAUGCGAUAAGUAAUGUGAAUUGCAGAAUUCAGUGAAUCAUCGAAUCUUUGAACGCACAUUGCGCCCGCCAGUAUUCUGGCGGGCAUGCCUGUCCGAGCGUCAUUUCAACCCUCGAACCCCUCCGGGGGGUCGGCGUUGGGGAUCGGCCCUUUACGGGGCCGGCCCCGAAAUACAGUGGCGGUCUCGCCGCAGCCUCUCCUGCGCAGUAGUUUGCACACUCGCAUCGGGAGCGCGGCGCGUCCACAGCCGUUAAACACCCCAAACUUCUGAAAUGUUGACCUCGGAUCAGGUAGGAAUACCCGCUGAACUUAAGCAUAUCAAAAGGCCCGGAGGAAA
RNAcentral lists this ribosomal RNA (588 nucleotides) under Trichoderma virens. RNAcentral's name for it is "eukaryotic LSU rRNA". The stretch from base 201 to 354 matches the Rfam family "5.8S ribosomal RNA". The record is from RNAcentral. Lineage: Eukaryota; Fungi; Ascomycota; Sordariomycetes; Hypocreales; Hypocreaceae.